This 77-nucleotide transfer RNA is filed under the name Beijerinckiaceae bacterium. RNAcentral's name for it is "tRNA-His". It matches the Rfam family "tRNA". Rfam says of the family: Transfer RNA (tRNA) molecules are approximately 80 nucleotides in length. Their secondary structure includes four short double-helical elements and three loops (D, anti-codon, and T loops). Lineage: Bacteria; Pseudomonadati; Pseudomonadota; Alphaproteobacteria; Hyphomicrobiales; Beijerinckiaceae. The record is from RNAcentral. RNAcentral also lists the same sequence under 1 other name.
GCAGUCGUAGCUCAGUUGGUUAGAGCGUCGGUUUGUGGCACCGAAGGUCGGUGGUUCGAAUCCACCCGACUGUACCA